Molecule: ribosomal RNA, 562 nt
Filed under: uncultured archaeon
Lineage: Archaea
Description: bacterial SSU rRNA
Rfam family: Archaeal small subunit ribosomal RNA
Source: RNAcentral
CGGGGUGCACCAGGCGCGAAAACUUUGCAAUGCGGGAAACCGUGACAAGGGAACUCUGAGUGCCCGUUAAAUCGGGCUGUCCAUCGGUUUAAAUAACCGGUGAAGAAAGGGCCGGGCAAGACCGGUGCCAGCCGCCGCGGUAAUACCGGCGGCUCGAGUGGUGGCCACUAUUACUGGGCUUAAAGCGUUCGUAGCUGGUUUGUUAAGUCUCUGGGGAAAUCUUCCGGCUUAACCGGAAGGCGUCUCAGGGAUACUGGCAGACUAGGGACCGGGAGAGGUGAGAGGUACUCCAGGGGUAGGAGUGAAAUCCUGUAAUCCUUGGGGGACCACCUGUGGCGAAGGCGUCUCACCAGAACGGCUCCGACAGUGAGGGACGAAAGCUGGGGGAGCAAACCGGAUUAGAUACCCGGGUAGUCCCAGCUGUAAACGAUGCGCGUUAGGUGUAUCGGUGACCACGAGUCACCGAGGUGCCGAAGAGAAAUCGUGAAACGUGCCGCCUGGGAAGUACGGUCGCAAGGCUGAAACUUAAAGGAAUUGGCGGGGGAGCACAAGGGCGAUUCGC